AAUGAACGCUGGCGGCAGGCUUAACACAUGCAAGUCGAACGGUAACACGAAACUGCUUGCUGUUUCGCUGACGAGUGGCGGGCGGGUGAGUAAUGUGUGGGAAACUGCUUGAUGGUGGGGGAUAACUACAGGAUACGGUAGUUACUAAAGCAUAAUGUUGCAAGAUGAUAGGGGGGGACCUGUGUGCGCCUUGCCAGCUGGUGUGCCCACUUGGGAUUAGUUAGUUGGGGGGGUAACGGACCACCUAGUCGACGAUCCCUAGCUGGUCUGAGAGGAGGACCGGCCACACUGGAACUGAGACACGGUCCAGACUCCUACGGGAGGCAGCAGUGGGGAAUAUUGCACAAUGGGCGCAAGCCUGAUGCAGCCAUGCCGCGUGUAUGAAGAAGGCCUUCGGGUUGUAAAGUACUUUCAGCGGGGAGGAAGGGAGUAAAGUUAAUACCUUUACUCAUUGACGUUACCCGCAGAAGAAGCACCGGCUAACUCCGUG
This 490-nucleotide ribosomal RNA is filed under the name uncultured bacterium. Its description in RNAcentral is "partial 16S ribosomal RNA". It matches the Rfam family "Bacterial small subunit ribosomal RNA", at positions 29 to 507 of the family's 1533-position model. The record is from RNAcentral.